RNAcentral lists this ribosomal RNA (464 nucleotides) under uncultured bacterium. Its description in RNAcentral is "SSU rRNA". It matches the Rfam family "Bacterial small subunit ribosomal RNA", at positions 26 to 518 of the family's 1533-position model. The record is from RNAcentral.
AGGAUUAACGCUGGCGGCGUGCCUAACACAUGCAAGUCGAACGAGGUAGCAAUACCUAGUGGCAGACGGGUGAGUAACGCGUGGUCAACCUACCGUUGAGUGGGGGAUAACUAGCCGAAAGGUUAGCUAAUACCGCAUACGAGUCUUGGGGGCAUCCCCGGGCCUUAAAAGGAGCAAUCCGCUCGAUGACGGGACCGCGUCCCAUUAGCUAGAUGGUGGGGUAACGGCCUACCAUGGCACCGAUGGGUAGCUGGUUUGAGAGAGCGACCAGCCACACUGGGACUGAGAAACGGCCCAGACUCCUACGGGAGGCAGCAGUGAGGAAUUUUCCGCAAUGGGCGAAAGCCUGACGGAGCGACGCCGCGUGUGGGAAGAAGGCCUUCGGGUCGUAAACCACUGUCGAAGGGGACGAUAAUGACGGUACCCUUGGAGGAAGCCCCGGCUAACUACGCGCCAGCAGCCGC